UAAACCAGAGAAUAUAUUCUCUAAGCUCUUAAAAAUCCCCAAAAAAUGACAAAAGAUUUAGGUUGCUAACUGCUAAGCUAAAGUCUAUAUUUUUUGGGGGAUUUUCAAGAGCUUAGAGAAUAUACAUUAAUGAUGAGCUCUUAGUAGUAUCAACUCUAAAAAUGACAAAAGAAAACACCAACAAGAUGUUUAUGCAGUCAAUUGUUUACCUAGUAGGGAAGAAUCAGACCUUCGACCUCUUUACAAGCUAGGGAGUUGAAGCCUAUGAGGAUGUCGAAUAACCUCAUUUUAGCAUGACCACAAUUCUCCAAAAUUCAAGAAUUCCUGCAUGUGUGUAUGAAGGCCAUUUGAGUGUGAUAAAAACAAACCUAGAAGAUAUCUAGAGAGGCAUCCUAAUUAAAGCAUGAGCUAGAGUCCUCCUUUUUGGUAAUUGCAUCACUUUCAUGAUCAAGAAAAAAGGAAUAUAUAAACUCCAACAAAAAAACUCCAAGAACAUGAACCAUAAAGAGCACCUCUUUCUUCGACAACCUCCUCCAACUCUAGAUAUCUGAUUCAAGUUAGGAUUAGAAGGGUCUGGAUUAGGGAUAGUGUUGAGGAGAGAAUAUAUGGCUAUGGGAUUUAAUGGGGGAUAAUUUGGGUGUCAAAGAGACUGUCGGUAGCGAGUUCUAUAGGUAGAAUGAUGGUGGAGGAGGAUCUACCGUUGUUUUUACCGUCGAACGGAGGGGCAACGAUGAAGGUGGAGGCGCGUCAAUCUAGAAAGGGGUACGAACGAGGCGACAAUGAAAGUGGGGAAGCGUCGAUCUAGAACUGGGUAUGAUGGGGGUGAGGAAGAGGCCGGUCAUGGCCAGAUCUGGUGAGGAGAAGACCGACCACGCCCAGAUCUUGUGAGGAGGAGGCUGGCCGCAUCUAGAUCCGGCAAGGAGGAGGUCAGUUGCGCACACAUCUGGUGGGAAGGAGGUUAGUCGCGCACACAUAUGGCAAGAAGGAGGCUAGCCACACCCAGAUCUAGUGGGAAGAAGGCUAGCCGUGCCCAGAUCCGGCGAGGAGGAGGUUGACCGCGCACAUAUCCGGCAGGCCCUCCUCCGGCAUGACUAGUGGCGCCCUGGCCCUGCUGCAUAUGUGACCAGACGCCCUGGCGACGGGGUGGCCGCAGUGAGGCCUCACACGUCCUAUGGGCUCCCUUCUCCGACAACCAGCGUCUUGUGUCCUGCAGACCUGCUCUGACGAACGCGGUGGUGGCAGCACGCGGUGUGGCGCCAUGGUCGAGGCAGUGGUAGGCUCGAUUGGAUUUGCUUGCAUUGGCUUUUUGAUUUGUCUAAAUCAUUUAACGGGGGAUGGGUGGAUCUGGUGGUAUUCCUACCGUAGACGGAGGGGUGACGAUGAAGGUGGGGGAGUGUCUAUUUAGAAAGGGGUAGGGUCGGGGAGGAGAGGGAGGGGGAGCUAAUUCCAGCAAGGUGGAGGUAGGUGGGGCUAUCUCGGAAUUGAGAGAGUAGAGGAAGUGGGGCAAGAUGGGAGAGAGAGGAGGAAGGAUAUAAGAUUUGGUAAUAGUAGUGGUAGGGGCAGAGGUGUAUAGUGUGGUGGUUAUCCCUCGUUAGCAUCAUGGGGAGGGUGCUCUCAAUGUAGUCGG
This 1627-nucleotide long non-coding RNA is filed under the name Sorghum bicolor (sorghum). RNAcentral's name for it is "long non-coding RNA (SBIC_LNC018383)". The record is from RNAcentral. Lineage: Eukaryota; Viridiplantae; Streptophyta; Magnoliopsida; Poales; Poaceae.